RNAcentral lists this unclassified non-coding RNA (263 nucleotides) under uncultured fungus. RNAcentral's name for it is "partial contains small subunit ribosomal RNA, internal transcribed spacer 1, and 5.8S ribosomal RNA". The stretch from base 1 to 73 matches the Rfam family "Eukaryotic small subunit ribosomal RNA", at positions 1759 to 1831 of the family's 1831-position model. The record is from RNAcentral. Lineage: Eukaryota; Fungi.
GCAAACUUGGUCAUUUAGAGGAAGUAAAAGUCGUAACAAGGUCUCCGUAGGUGAACCUGCGGAGGGAUCAUUACAGAGUUUUCCAAACUCCAAACCCAUGUGAACUUACCUACUGUUGCCUCGGCGGCAGGUCAUCUCCGGGUGACUGGCUGCCGGUGGACCACUAAACUCUUGUUAAUAUUUGUCAUUCUGAAUACAAAACUUAAUAAGUUAAAACUUUCAACAACGGAUCUCUUGGUUCUGGCAUCGAUGAAGAACGCAGC